UUAAAACUCCAAAAGACGUCAAAAAGAAAUAAAAAUGGAGAAAAAUUAUUUAACUCAGCAAGGAUAUCGUCACUGAGAGAGCAAAGCUUCACUCCAACAGAAGCAGAACCCAGGUGGUAAGGUUUGACAGGUGGACACCAAGUGGAAGCACAAAUACUGAGAAACACUCUGCCACCAAAAAAAGACAAAGGAAGGCUAAAAAAUGGUAACUAGAAGGUAGAGCAGCAAAGUCUAUGAAUCCUUUUGAAAAGAAGACCUGAACAUACAGGAAGGCUAAAGAAAAGGCAUCUGUGAAAAGGAAAGGGGUCUGGAAAGGGAGAUAAGGGAGGGAGAGAGGUAGAGACGGAGAGGGGCACAAGAACAGAGACAGAAACAGAUAGUGAGGAAGAGAUACUGGCUGAACACAGAGCCAAAGGACAGAAGGAAUAGCAGAAAUGAGGUGAAAGGAGGGGAGAACGUGGUGUCUGGAACAGUGAAAGCAUUAGCAACAAGUGGCCACGAACCUCCUCCUGAGCCUGGGAGGAUAAAAGGGAACAGAGAGGAACAUUAGAGGGGUACAUGAGGAAGCUCAAGUUGAAGGGCCUUAAUCUUGGGCACGCAGCAGGCACUUGAGUAUCUGACUGAGUAGUAACAAUCCCAGGAAACCCUGGUGGCGUAGUGGUUAAGUGCUACGGCUGCUAACCAAAAGGUCGGCAGUUCAAAUCCGCCAGGCGCUCCUUGGAAACUCCACGGGGCAGUUUUACUUUGUUCUAUAGGGUCGCUAUGAGUUGGAAUCAACUCGACGGCAGUGGGUUGGGUUUGGUUUUUUGGUUAGUAACAAUCCCAGUGGUAGAAUUCUUGCCUUUCAUACAGAAGACCUGGAUUCAACUCCAGCCAAUGCACCUCAUGUGCAGAUCCUACCUGUCCGCAGCAGAGGCUUGUGGGUUGCUAUGAUGACAAAAAGGUUUCAGAACAAUUUCCAGACUAAAAUGAAGUAAGAAGAAAAGCCUGGCCAUCUACUUCCAAAAAUGAGCCAAUGAAAACCCUACGGAUCAAAUGGUCUGAUCUGCAACCAGUCACGCAUGGGGAUGGCGUGGGACCAGGCAGUGUUGUAUUCCGUUGUGCACAGGGUUGCCAUAAGCCCAGAGCCUACUCGACAGCAGCUAACAAUGAGAAAUCUCAAGAAAAGAGGAAGUGAGGCCAUAUGCUGUUGAGUGGGAAGAAGAGAACAGGGGAACUGAUGGCUUAAGGACCGCAGGACCCCAGCGCAAGUCAGAGAAGGACAAAGACCUCCCCAGUGGCCAGGGACUGGUGCCGUGUACAGACGGAACCCUGUCAGUUAGCUUAGGCAUUCAGAACCACAUGCUCUCCAGGUGCUCCUGAAUAAGAGUGGGCCUCCUCUCUCCUGCUCCUGACAGUGAGUACAACCCUGUUUCUGACGGCUGGUUAAAGGGAAGAGGGGAAAUCGUGUUCUCUCAAAUAGCUGCAUCUUUUAUUCCUGUUGUCAGAGGCAAGCCUGUUACUCCCCACUCUCCUCUGCACAUACAGAUGCCCAAUUCACGUGCUGCUUGCCCAGACAGUAAAAAAGCAGAUUCCAUAAGCAUAUAUUUUGGGUACUCAGUCUACAUGAGAAGAGAAAACAUUUCCCAAAAGCCAACCCAAAAUGGCUUUAAAAUCUCUUCCAGGCUGAACUUGGUCAUUCCAACCCAGCGGUGCCUUGAUGCAGAAUGUCGCUGGGCUAUCUGCAUGGAACUCACUGGAGUCCAGGGGUGCAAACUACCCCUUCCGCACCCCCAGCUGCGUUCCCCGGCUCUUUUCGCAGGUUAGGCUGGCCUGGGUAAACGAUUCAGUUAGUGUGAGUUAGGGGGCUCUUUUUCAGGUGAGUUCUUUCUUCUUUUGUUUAGAUUUGACUCAAAACUUACUUCAAUUAUCUCUACUUCUGUUAGAGUACCUAAGCAAAUUAAAUCAUUUAAAGUGAGGAAGGGAAAUGAAGUGGCUGGGUCUUCAAAACGACUUAUGCAAACAGCCCCUCCCCCACCCCAGCCCUACCCUUUGGACUAUCUCUGCCCUCUUAAACUACGAAAAUCCAAGACAAGCUAACUGCUUCUCAAAGGAAGACUCUGGACUCUGAGUGUGAAAACCCUGUGGUUAAGCCCUGGCUUGCAGAAAAUGAAAAAUUUCAGCAACUCUGGAAUGAAAUGUCAUGUUCAUAGCUACACAAAGUUUCACAGCUGUUCCCAGCCAAUAUGAAAACCGAAAGGGGAGAUUCUAUCUUUAUCCUCUACCUCCUAACCUAGAGUCAAAGCUGGUACUGUCCUGGGCAGAGCUGCCAGAGAGCAUUUUCAGUUCUAGUCUGCUGAGCAGAACAGACAAAGGAAGCAAGGGAAUGCAUGGGGCCAGCAAAGUGCAACCAAACAACAAAUACCAGGCCCACCUGGAAGAAAGAAAAUGCAGUUAAUAAUUUAAAAUUGUGAACGGACACAGUGAAACAGAAUUGCUUGAAAGGUGGUUCUCAAAGUCAUUUAGAAAGUCCUUUUCAAUCCGUUCAAAAUGCAAAAGGUUAGGUUGUCAAACGCAGCCUAAUUCUAUCUGAAUAUUCCCGCUGGGAGGAGAGCAACCCUUUUACCAAGUUUCUUGGAAGGAAAAACAUGUUUUCUCCUACUAAGAUGAAAGUCCAGCUCGUAGAGACUCAACACACACCUUCUUCAGACCACCUCGUGGAACCAUGCAUCCCUGAGACUGAGAACACGGUACCACGGAAAAUGAAAGACCAGAUAAGACUCAAAAGGGAAGGCGAGGAGGCAGGAGAGCCUGAAAGUUACACACACGUUAACCGAAGAAAAUGUUCUUCUGGUACAAACGAACUGCCUCCCUCUGAGAAACCACUUCCCACUACCUCCUUCGUUCUAUUUAUUGUUCAGUUGUAAAUGACUGGGCAACUGCUCCCUGGCCACGCGUCUCAAGGAUUGGCCAAUCUGUGUCAGCAGCCCAUACCACAUACACAAACCACCAACGAAUGAAGCGCGUGAUGAGGGAGCUUCAUGUUUUAUGUGAAAUGACACCGACACACUGCACUUCCUGCUAGUUCUGACAUACUGUCUCUAUUCAAGAAAAAGUAAAGAGCUACCACAGGGCCUGCUGGAUUAGCACCCUGAAAUCACUUAGGCAGAAUCGCAUUGAGGAUUAAGCUAAGGAAUGGAUUCUGGAACUACAUCACCUGGGUUCAAGUCCAGGCUUUACCACUUACCCUCUGUGGUAAGGGGCAUUCCCUUAGGCAUUUACUAACCUCUCUGUGCCUCAGUUUCCUCAUUUGUAAGAUGGAGAUGAUAACAAUACCUACUUCAUUUGUUCAUUGUGCGACACAGGUGAGUUAAGUAUGUAAACACUGUCUGGGACACGGUGCAAACUACCAAAGUGCUUGCUAUCAUCACGCAUGUGUUCACAGCUAACCCAGGCUUACUGUUCACACACACUAGCAAGUGGGUACCUGCUCUUCUGGGUUAACUCACACAUCGUCAGGUCAAGAGGUGCUAAAGACAUUCCAUUCAUCUGGAGCAGUGGUUCUCAAACCUGAGCAUGCACCUGGAGGGCUUGUUAAAACAAGGAUUGCUGGGCCCCACUGCCAGGGUUUCUGAUUCCAUAGGCCUGGGGUGGGGCCUGAGAAUUUGCAUUUCUAACAAGGUUUCAGGUGCUGCUGCUGCUGCUGCUGCUGCUGCUGCUGGUCUGGGUGCUGCACUGCACUGUGUGAUGGAUGCACUGCUCCAUGGAACAGCUAAGUCAUGUUUUAUGCCCCAGGCGUACGCCUUUUCUAGUUGAUUUAUCUGAGCCACAGGAGAUGAAAUGAGAAAGGAGGGUGGCAAAAACACUUGUGGCAAAGACGUUGCCUGCUCAGAGAACAUCUGUGGGCUCACAGAUAUUCCCUAGCACCUCUGCAGUCGGGCAGGCCGCGUGACUAGAAGUUCCGGCCAAUGGGCUGUGAGCAAAGGUGACCGGCAUUGCUUCCAGACUGAAGCUUUUAAAAGCUGGCCUGUGACCCUCCAUCUCUGUCCCCUUACUGUGGCACCCCAGAAGCCAUGCAGAAUGGAAGAGGUAGUUCUAUGGUAAACGCUGCCUGGAUCCUGGGGUCACUGUUUGGAAGAGGGCUAUACUAACCAUACUAGAGAGCUGCUAAACCUACAGAGGUUUCACCUGAACAAGUAAUGACAUUUUAUGGUUUGACCACUGAGAUGUCAAUGUUUAUGUGAUACUUCAACAUAGCUUAGCUUAACCUGAAUAAAACAGUUCCCAUUACUAUCACUGAAAGGACAUUUGAACGAUCAGCCUGAGUGGGUCCAAGCUAGUAAACACAGAUAUGAGGUGUUUUAUAACAAAAUCAGCUAGAAGGAAUUCUACCCUACUCUCAUUUACUUUAUCCACCGAAAUAGAUAAUUUUUUUUUUAACCUAUUUUGGGGUCUGUUAAAAUCCCUCGUAAUUAUGUAACAGUGGCUUAAAACUGAGCUAAGUAUGCUAAGACAUAUUGAAAAUGUGAAAAACAAACACACUGAAAGAUUCGGAUCAAGAGUCCCGUGAAGCAGAGCAUACAGACCCCAUUACUAGAAUCCUGACUCCAAUCCCGCCCCUGCAGGGCAGGCCAGGAGUAAAAGGUUUCAACUUUAUUUAGUCAAUCGUUUAUGAAUCGAUAAUGUAUUUCGCCCAAAUGGGAGAAAGGGGAUCUCUAUAAGGUAAAAACAUCAGCACUUAGCCACAAAGCUGCUUAAAAAACAAAAACCAAAAAACAUAGUCUCUAGCUAUCCUAGGAAAAGUUUGCUGUCCACUGGAUACCACCUACCAGACUAUGCGGAAUUAAACAUAAUAAACGGGUCUCCUCUCCCAAAAGUUAACACCAUGCAGACACAGACACACACACAGCUAAAACAAACAGCCAUCCAGAACACCUCAACAACUUAAUCAGAAUAUUUAAGAAACACACACAAUUAGAAGGGAGCUGGGAAGAGAGAAUAAAAGAACAGAAUAGAAUCACAGAGGGCCUUCCUGGUCUGUAGAGCAACACAACACUUAUGUGGAGGGCUACCUAUGAGGAGGACUUCUAGUGGGACCAACAACUAAUCCCAAAGGUUGGAGAAUUUCUCGCUGGAAUUCUACCUGGCUCUUCCACAGAGAGCAAGAGAACAACUCCUUUGCAGAUCCACACGGACACAUUUUACACUCAUCCACUGAGAGGCUCAGUGGCCCUCUGAUCUCCACUCAGCACUGGCUAAUAGGAGCGAUGAGAGGAAGGGGCCCUGCUGCUCUCACCCUCAAGCACACAGCUCCUUGAGCAGCUCAUUCCCUGGGUGUGUCACAUUCCAUCUCUUUAGGUACUUCCAUGUGGAAAAAAAAAAAAGGUAAACACUCAUGUAAUACAUUUGGUCACAUAACUCAGCUGUAAAACCACAGUUAAAAACAAUAAAGGCCCCAAUGCUAAAAGUUGAAUUUCUCUAAUAUUCUUAUCGCUUUUGAGCAACUGUUUUAGAAUCCCCAAGUGGUACGGUUAAUGCGCUUGGCUGCUAACAGAAAGGUUGGAUGUUCAGUCCCACCCAGUGGUACCUCAGAAGAAAGGCCUGGUGAUCUACUCCAAAAAAAAAUCAGCCACUGAAAACCCUAUGGAGCACAAUUCUGUGCCAACACACAGGCGGUCGCCGUGAGUCAAAACUGACUUGAUGGCAACUGUUGGUUAGCAACUGCUGCGUUUUUGUCCCAACCUGGCUGGGCCACCUUCUCCUCAGGGUCACAGGACCUGAACAUGCUGAUCAGCUGUUCCCCUCUGGCCUCACCACUGUGGACUCUACCCAGCUCUGCCAAGUGGGAAACGGUUGCCAUCAGUCUGCAGAGAGCUGCAUCCUGUGUGCUGGCAAUCUCAGGGAGAGGCGGUGUAAACACAUAGGACAGCUCUGGGAGGACCCGUGGAGAAAUCAGGAGGGGGUACACUGGCCACAGAUCAGUCCCCGGUACAGGGGAGAGUUCGCCCUCACAAAGUUAACAGGAGCUCUGAAAACAAACUGUGGAAGACCAGGAACCAUAAAACACAAAGCAUGUGCGACGUUCAAGAUGCUAAGAAAUACAAGGUUUGUGCUCUGAAACAGAUGCGCAAAGAGAAUUCAGUUUCGCCUCACGUGAUAGUACAGUCCUUUAGCUUUCAGAGUGCCAGACAAAUGAGGAUCAGAAACAUGUUUCACCCAGAGUAAAGAUGGAAUGAAAAAGAACCCCCUCCCACCCCAAAAAAGGGAAGAAAAGAAGCCAGGACACACCAGAAAUAGCUUAUGUGAGUCUGUUUCUAAGCGCCAAAGGGUCUGUGCAUCACAAGAGAGAUUCCCUCGCAAUGUGUGUUAUAGGGAGUCCAAGCAUUACUAUAUAUGGUAUGUUUACGGAGUGGUUAGACACAAACAAUGCAGAACUUAUACGAGACCAGAACUUGCUUUGAAAGAGCUGGUUGUGCUGCAUUUAUGUCCACAAGAUAUCCCCAAAGUCAAAACUAACUGCAGAUGCUUCAAGAAGAAAAGUCUCAUGACUUACUGGCACUCUUAAUUGCAGUGACUCCAUCUCACUGCCCUCCAAGGCUGCGUGCACACACACUUCCUUCUCCAUCGGCUCCUCCCCUCCCCACCGCCCACUUUCCCCCUCGCCGGUCAUCCACAGCGGUCCCACAGAGGCAGAAAUGCACGCCGAAGAAUGUCUCUGCUGAAUGGGGCCUAUGUUACAGGACCCAGGGCCCGCACCAGCACUCCACCGAUUUCUCGAGAAACAGCUGGCCAGGCCGAGGCCUGCCUCGCACAGGCUCCGCAUCUCCACGGAGUGUUUUCAUAAUGUAAAGGGUUCUGCACAGAAGAGGGGAAGCCAGACACUGAAGUCUGAAGAUGUUUUAAAGUCCUGGAGGAGGAAAGGAGGGGGGGACAGAGGGGGAGGGGGCAGACAGAGAGACGUGGGGAGAAAGGCUUCAUCACUGGCUUUAACAGUCUUGCCCAACCUGUUCUACGGUAUGUUCUGUUAACUCCUUUCUGGCAAAUGGAUGCAAGCAGCUGCCCCUCUUGUUCCUCCUUUUCCCCACAACUGUACCAAGGCAGACUUGUGGAGAAAAGGCACAAAGAGACUAAUCCAUAAUUUUUACUAUAUGGCAUGAGACCUUUACUAUCAGCUGCCUGAGGCUGUCAUCUCCCUGGAUGCUACUAACUUCUCUAACUCUCCUCACCCCACCUCUAGAACAAGCAAAUCAAAGUUGGGGUUUGUCUUUUCAGAAAGAAAAACAUUACCUUGGUCCAGUUUUCAGGCACUUGAACAAUGUACUAUAUCAGAAAGUUAUAAAGUUGUUUUGCUUUGUUUUGUUUGACAUUAGCAUUUACAGGGUUAAUGGACAGCCUGCCGACCAGAAAUUUCCCUGCUUAGCAACAGAAGCAUCAACUAAGCCACAGGGGUUGUUUUGACACAGGAAAAACAGUUUCUACCUGGUGAAAAUACCUGGUGAUGAUGUUUCAGUUGCCAUUUUUAAGCAACAAUCACAGGAGAAGAGCAGUAAAAAAACUACGGUAAAAAGGAGAAAACUCCCAAAACGAGACUUGCUCAGCUGUGAGGUUCAACUCAAAACCAAAGCAUUGAUACAAGGUACCACAUAUAUAAAAUGUCUCUAAAAGCCAAAGACGACUUCAGGGUUCAGAAAACUGCUCUUUGUGAGUUCACGUUCCCCUAGCGUCUUGUUUAUAGCUGCUUAGCCUUUACAGCUAUCUCAAAGACUUCUCAGGUGGUAGUAGAUUUUUUUAAAUCCUUCUCAGACAGACUCCCCCCAUGGUGUGACGAACAGGAAAGCAGGAAUUUUACAAGAGAUUAUAUAAUUUUUUCCUUCAACAUGUUUGUUUGUCUCAAUUUUAGCAAAAACGCAAAUGCAACCCAAAAGGUCUCUAUAAUCUGCCUGAAAUAACAACAAAUCAAUACAUUCCUUGAAAUUUAAAUAUCCACUUUAAAUUGCAACUACAGAAAGCUCCCUCAUUUUCAGCAAACAACUGUUUUGUUUUUUUGGAAGCUCCAGGAUGCUCGAAUGCUAGGAUGUUUACUGUUUUUUUUUUUUUUUUU
Loxodonta africana (African savanna elephant) is the source of this 8080-nucleotide long non-coding RNA. RefSeq lists it as uncharacterized. The transcript is spliced from 3 exons. The record is from RefSeq and is a predicted model, not a curated record. NCBI's taxonomy places the organism in Eukaryota, Metazoa, Chordata, Mammalia, Proboscidea, Elephantidae.